Molecule: ribosomal RNA, 279 nt
Filed under: uncultured bacterium
Lineage: Bacteria
Description: partial 16S ribosomal RNA
Rfam family: Bacterial small subunit ribosomal RNA
Source: RNAcentral
UGCCAGCAGCCGCGGUAAUACGGAGGGGGUUAGCGUUGUUCGGAAUUACUGGGCGUAAAGCGCACGUAGGCGGAUCGGAAAGUUGGGGGUGAAAUCCCAGGGCUCAACCCUGGAACUGCCUCCAAAACUAUCGGUCUAGAGUUCGAGAGAGGUGAGUGGAAUUCCGAGUGUAGAGGUGAAAUUCGUAGAUAUUCGGAGGAACACCAGUGGCGAAGGCGGCUCCCUGGCCAAAGACUGACGCUCAUGCGCGAAAGUGUGGGUAGCGAACAGGAUUAGAUA